Molecule: ribosomal RNA, 1043 nt
Filed under: uncultured archaeon
Lineage: Archaea
Description: bacterial SSU rRNA
Rfam family: Archaeal small subunit ribosomal RNA
Source: RNAcentral
UCCGGUUGAUCCUGGCGGAGGCCACUGCUAUCGGAGUUCGAUUAAGCCAUGCGAGUCGAGAGGUGAAAGACCUCGGCAUACUGCUCAGUAACACGUGGACAAUCUAACCUACGGAGGGGGAUAACCCCGGGAAACUGGGGAUAAUACCCCAUAGACUAUGGAUGCCGGAAUGCUUUGUAGUCGAAAGGUCCGCCGCCGUAGGAUGGGUCUGCGGCCGAUUAGGUUGUUGUUGGGGUAACGGCCCAACAAGCCUGUAAUCGGUACGGGUUGUGGGAGCAAGAGCCCGGAGAUGGAUUCUGAGACACGAAUCCAGGCCCUACGGGGCGCAGCAGGCGCGAAAACUUUACAAUGCGGGAAACCGUGAUAGGGGAACUCCGAGUGCCCGUUAAAUCGGGCUGUCCAUCUGUUUAAAUAACAGGUGAAGAAAGGGCCGGGCAAGACCGGUGCCAGCCGCCGCGGUAAUACCGGCGGCUCGAGUGGUGGCCACUAUUACUGGGCUUAAAGCGUUCGUAGCUGGUUUGUUAAGUCUCUGGGGAAAUCUUCCGGCUUAACCGGAAGGCGUCUCAGGGAUACUGGCAGACUAGGGACCGGGAGAGGUGAGGGGUACUCCAGGGGUAGGAGUGAAAUCCUGUAAUCCUUGGGGGACCACCUGUGGCGAAGGCGCCUCACCAGAACGGCUCCGACAGUGAGGGACGAAAGCUGGGGGAGCAAACCGGAUUAGAUACCCGGGUAGUCCCAGCUGUAAACGAUGCGCGUUAGGUGUAUCGGUGACCACGAGUCACCGAGGUGCCGAAGAGAAAUCGUGAAACGUGCCGCCUGGGAAGUACGGUCGCAAGGCUGAAACUUAAAGGAAUUGGCGGGGGAGCACCACAACGGGUGGAGCCUGCGGUUUAAUCGGACUCAACGCCGGGAAACUCACCAGUUAAGACAGCUGAAUGAUGGUCGGGCUGAAGACUCUACCUGACUAGCUGAGAGGAGGUGCAUGGCCGUCGUCAGUUCGUACUGUGAAGCAUCCUGUUAAGUCAGGCAACGAGCGAGACCCA